UACGUAGGGGGCGAGCGUUGUCCGGAGUUACUGGGCGUAAAGGGCAUGCAGGCGGUGCGCCACGUUUGGGGUUACAGCUCCCGGCUUAACCGGGAGAGCGCCUCGAAGACGGGAGCACUUGAGGGCCAGAGAGGGACACGGAACUCCGGGUGGAGUGGUGAAAUGCGUAGAUAUCCGGAAGAACACCAAAGGCGAAGGCAGUGUCCUGGCUGGUUCCUGACGCUGAGGUGCGAAAGCUAGGGGAGCGAACGGG
RNAcentral lists this ribosomal RNA (253 nucleotides) under uncultured bacterium. Its description in RNAcentral is "partial 16S ribosomal RNA". It matches the Rfam family "Bacterial small subunit ribosomal RNA", at positions 524 to 776 of the family's 1533-position model. The record is from RNAcentral.